Molecule: long non-coding RNA, 668 nt
Organism: Chiroxiphia lanceolata (lance-tailed manakin)
Lineage: Eukaryota; Metazoa; Chordata; Aves; Passeriformes; Pipridae
Exons: 6
Source: RefSeq, a predicted model, not a curated record
GGGAUUGGAAGGGUUUGUUUCCCAAAUCCCUUGGGAUUGGAAGGUGUUUGUUCCUAAAUUAUUUGGGAUUGGAAGGUGUUUGUUCCCAAAUCACUUGGGAUUGGAAGGUGUUUGUUCCUAAAUCACUUGGGGUCGAAAGGUGUUUGUUCCUAAAUCACUGGAGGAUUUUUGACCAAGGUCUGAAAGGUGUUUGUUCCUAAAUCACCUGGGAUUUUUUACCCAAGGUGUGAAAGGAGUUUGUUCCUAAUUAUUUGGGAUUGAAAUGUGUUUGUUCCUAAAUUAUUUGGGAUUGAAAGAUGUUUGUUCCCAAAUCACUUGGGAUUGAAAGGUGUUUGUUCCUGAAUCAUUUGGGAUUUUUAUCCAGGGUGUGAAAGGUGUUUGUUCCUAAAUUAUUUGGGAUUGAAAGGGGUUCGUUCCCAAAUCACCUGGAAUUUUUAACUAGAGUGUGAAAGGUGUUUGUUCCCAAAUCAUUUGGGAUUUUAACCAGGGUCUGAAAGGUGUUUGUUCCCAAAUCACUUGAGAUUUUAACCAGGGAUUGAAAAGUGUUUGUUCCAAAUCAUUUGGGAUUGAAAGGGGCUUGUUCUAAAUCACUUGGGAUUGAAAAGUGUUUGUUCCCAAAUCACUUGGGAUUGAAAAGUGUUUGUUCUAAAUCAUUUGGGAUUUUUACC